This 253-nucleotide ribosomal RNA is filed under the name uncultured bacterium. RNAcentral describes it as "partial 16S ribosomal RNA". It matches the Rfam family "Bacterial small subunit ribosomal RNA", at positions 524 to 776 of the family's 1533-position model. The record is from RNAcentral.
UACGUAGGGUGCGAGCGUUAAUCGGAAUUACUGGGCGUAAAGCGUGCGCAGGCGGUUCGCUGUGUCCGAUGUGAAAGCCCCGGGCUUAACCUGGGAAUGGCAUUGGAAACUGGCGGGCUUGAGUGUGGCAGAGGAAGGUGGAAUUCCACGUGUAGCGGUGAAAUGCGUAGAGAUGUGGAGGAACACCAAUGGCGAAGGCAGCCUUCUGGGCCAAUACUGACGCUCAGGUGCGAAAGCGUGGGGAGCAAACAGG